This 99-nucleotide ribosomal RNA is filed under the name Octodon degus (degu). The record is from RNAcentral. Lineage: Eukaryota; Metazoa; Chordata; Mammalia; Rodentia; Octodontidae.
GCCAUACCACCCUGAACACGCCCAAUCUUGUAUGAUCUCAGAAGCUAAGCAGGGUUGGGCCUGGUUAGUACUUGGAUGGGAGAGCCUGUACAAAAUAAA